UUGGGAACCGAUGCUAAUACCGGAUGUGCCGAGAGGUGAAAGGCUAGCCGCCUGAAGAAGAGCUCGCGUCUGAUUAGCUAGUUGGUGGUGUAAGGGACUACCAAGGCGACGAUCAGUAGCUGGUCUGAGAGGAUGAUCAGCCACACUGGAACUGAGACACGGUCCAGACUCCUACGGGAGGCAGCAGUGGGGAAUUUUCCGCAAUGGGCGAAAGCCUGACGGAGCAAUACCGCGUGAGGGAGGAAGGCUCUUGGGUUGUAAACCUCUUUUCUCAAGGAAGAAGUUCUGACGGUACUUGAGGAAUCAGCAUCGGCUAACUCCGUGCCAGCAGCCGCGGUAAUACGGAGGAUGCAAGCGUUAUCCGGAAUGAUUGGGCGUAAAGCGUCCGCAGGUGGUUGUGUGUGUCUAUUGUCAAAGCAUCAUGCUUAACAUGAUAAAGGCAGUAGAAACUACACGACUAGAGUGCGUUCGGGGCAGAGGGAAUUCCUGGUGUAGCGGUGAAAUGCGUAGAGAUCAGGAAGAACACCGGUGGCGAAAGCGCUCUGCUAGGCCGCAACUGACACUGAGGGACGAAAGCUAGGGGAGCGAAUGGGAUUAGAUACCCC
This 605-nucleotide ribosomal RNA is filed under the name Fischerella thermalis NK1-2. Its description in RNAcentral is "bacterial SSU rRNA". It matches the Rfam family "Bacterial small subunit ribosomal RNA", at positions 149 to 788 of the family's 1533-position model. Lineage: Bacteria; Bacillati; Cyanobacteriota; Cyanophyceae; Nostocales; Hapalosiphonaceae. The record is from RNAcentral.